Molecule: ribosomal RNA, 122 nt
Organism: Aotus nancymaae (Ma's night monkey)
Lineage: Eukaryota; Metazoa; Chordata; Mammalia; Primates; Aotidae
Source: Ensembl
AUCUAUGGCUAUACCACCCUGAAUAAUGCACCCGAUCUUGUCUGAUCUUUGAAGCUAAGUAGGGUCAGGCCUGAUUAGUACUUGGAUGGGAAACCACCUGGAAAUACCAGGUGCUGUAGGCU